UACGUAGGGGGCAAGCGUUGUCCGGAAUCAUUGGGCGUAAAGCGCGUGUAGGCGGCCCGGUAAGUCCGCUGUGAAAGUCCAGGGCUCAACCCUGGGAUGCCGGUGGAUACUGUCGGGCUCGAGUCCGGAAGAGGCGAGUGGAAUUCCUGGUGUAGCGGUGAAAUGCGCAGAUAUCAGGAGGAACACCAAUGGCGAAGGCAGCACUCUAGGACGUGACUGACGCUGAGACGCGAAAGCGUGGGGAGCAAACAGG
This 253-nucleotide ribosomal RNA is filed under the name uncultured bacterium. RNAcentral describes it as "partial 16S ribosomal RNA". It matches the Rfam family "Bacterial small subunit ribosomal RNA", at positions 524 to 776 of the family's 1533-position model. The record is from RNAcentral.